CCUACGGGGCGCAGCAGUCGAGAAUCAUUCACAAUGGGGGAAACCCUGAUGGUGCGACGCCGCGUGGGGGAAUGAAGGUCUUCGGAUUGUAAACCCCUGUCAUGUGGGAGCAAAUUAAAAAGAUAGUACCACAAGAGGAAGAGACGGCUAACUCUGUGCCAGCAGCCGCGGUAAUACAGAGGUCUCAAGCGUUGUUCGGAAUCACUGGGCGUAAAGCGUGCGUAGGCUGUUUCGUAAGUCGUGUGUGAAAGGCGCGGGCUCAACCCGCGGACGGCACAUGAUACUGCGAGACUAGUGUAAAGGAGGGGGAACCGGAAUUCUCGGUGUAGCAGUGAAAUGCGUAGAUAUCGAGAGGAACACUCGUGGCGAAGGCGGGUUCCUGGACAUUAACUGACGCUGAGGCACGAAGGCCAGGGGAGCGAAAGGGAUUAGAUACCCCUGUAGUC
RNAcentral lists this ribosomal RNA (446 nucleotides) under uncultured bacterium. Its description in RNAcentral is "partial 16S ribosomal RNA". It matches the Rfam family "Bacterial small subunit ribosomal RNA", at positions 338 to 795 of the family's 1533-position model. The record is from RNAcentral.